ACGGGAAACCGACCAGACCCUGGGCAGGGGCGGGGGAACCAGGUUCGUUGCCGUUUCCUCCACGGCUUGGGGUGAAGCCGCCCGAGCGGGAUCGUCUCCGCGCACGGCGGCCGGGCCACCUCCCGGUCCGAACCCGACAGCUCACCUCGCAGGCGUGCGGAGAGGGACU
This 169-nucleotide small RNA is filed under the name Streptomyces rubellomurinus. RNAcentral's name for it is "c-di-AMP sequence". It matches the Rfam family "c-di-AMP riboswitch aptamer (ydaO/yuaA leader)". From Rfam's summary of the family: This family represents a conserved RNA structure found upstream of the ydaO and yuaA genes in Bacillus subtilis and related genes in other bacteria. The ydaO/yuaA element is thought to act as a genetic "off" switch for the ydaO and yuaA genes in its native state. Lineage: Bacteria; Bacillati; Actinomycetota; Actinomycetes; Kitasatosporales; Streptomycetaceae. The record is from Rfam by way of RNAcentral.